Long non-coding RNA from Capsicum annuum, 1153 nucleotides. RefSeq lists it as uncharacterized. Lineage: Eukaryota; Viridiplantae; Streptophyta; Magnoliopsida; Solanales; Solanaceae. The transcript has 2 exons. The record is from RefSeq and is a predicted model, not a curated record.
UUCACCAAAUUCAUUCAUUUUUAACCUUAGUACAACUUUAUUCAACAUAUAUUACAUACAAAGAUGCUACUACUUACUACUACAAUUACUACUACUACUAAUAAUAAUAGACUCCUCAUACCACCUUGUUGUUUCAAGAAACAUUAUCGCCUUUAAGCUCUCCGAAUUCUGGCAAAAUGAUAAACAAAACGACGAUUGAGUAAUUCAGAUCACAUGGGAAAUGGAUUUGAAUUAUUUAUUGCCUCCAUUUAUAGAAGAAAAGGGUUGUGGGGAUCAUAGAAAUUAAUUAUAUGUAAUUUGUUAAUAUUUAGUUGUAAAGAGUUAGUGGUAGCUUAGUUAGUUAGUGGUUGUUAUGCUGAGCUUUCAACACUUAGCUGUCCAUAAAAGGAGCACAUUGUAUAGCCUAGUUAUAUGAAAUUGAGAUUCUUUCUACUUGUAAUAAUCUUCUCUCUACAAUUUCAUGAUUUAUAGCUUUAACAUGGUAUCAGAGAGAAGGUUCUAGAAGAUCAUUGUAUCAAUAAGUGAAGCUCCAACAAAGAAAAAAUAGAAGAACUAAUGUUCCAGUGACUCUUUGAGCUAUUGUUUAACACAGAUUCUUUGAUUCAGAGCACAUCAAAGAAUUUCCAAUUGAAUCUCGAGGUUGUGGAAGGUUGAAUUUCAAGAAAAUUACUCAGAAUUCACUGUAAUUGCUUGAAAUCAUGACUAUUGAGGUGGUAUAUAACUCAGUCAGAGGAUCGACUUCACAUGAAACUACUUAGGUGGAGGAUCAGAUUAAUCACAACCAUCCGCUAUAUAUUUAUCCUUCUAAUACUUAAGGAGCUCUUCACUGAAAAGGUGAUAGGGAUUGGUAAAAAGGAGGACGGAUUAUAUAUGCUAUAUGGACACACCACAAUAUAGUACCAAAAGGAAACAAACACCUGCGAAGACUCAAAGUAGCAGUCUGUAGCAUUAGCUGAUUGUAGUAUACAAAAUAUCAUUAAACUCAGUAAUAGUGCUAUUAGUACUGAUUUUAACUUACUAUGGCAUAGAAGACUAAGGCAUGCACCUUUGAAAGUUCUUAAGAAUGUUAGUAUCUUGAACUCUUCUCUUCUUAAGGAAUAUGUAUGUAUUGUUUGUCCUAUUGCAAAGCAAAUAAGACUUUCUUUUCCUAUAA